GACGAACGCUGGCGGCGUGCUUAACACAUGCAAGUCGAACGGAAAGGCCCUGCUUUUGUGGGGUGCUCGAGUGGCGAACGGGUGAGUAACACGUGAGUAACCUGCCCUUGACUUUGGGAUAACUUCAGGAAACUGGGGCUAAUACCGGAUAGGAGCUCCUGCUGCAUGGUGGGGGUUGGAAAGUUUCGGCGGAUGGGGAUGGACUCGCGGCUUAUCAGCUUGUUGGUGGGGUAGUGGCUUACCAAGGCUUUGACGGGUAGCCGGCCUGAGAGGGUGACCGGCGACAUUGGGACUGAGGUAGGGCCCAGACGCGAACGGGAGGCAGCAGUGGGGAAUAUUGCACAAUGGGCGGGAGCCUGAUGAAGCAACGCCGCGUGCGGGAAGACGGCCUUCGGGUUGGGAACCGCAUUAGCCUAUGACGAAGCGUGAGUGACGGUAAUGAGAGAAGAAGCACCGGCUAACUACGUG
This 468-nucleotide ribosomal RNA is filed under the name uncultured bacterium. RNAcentral's name for it is "partial 16S ribosomal RNA". It matches the Rfam family "Bacterial small subunit ribosomal RNA", at positions 28 to 507 of the family's 1533-position model. The record is from RNAcentral.